RNAcentral lists this ribosomal RNA (508 nucleotides) under uncultured bacterium. RNAcentral describes it as "bacterial SSU rRNA". It matches the Rfam family "Bacterial small subunit ribosomal RNA", at positions 38 to 507 of the family's 1533-position model. The record is from RNAcentral.
GGCGGCGUGCCUAAUACAUGCAAGUCGAACGCACUCUCGUUUAGAUUGAAGGAGCUUGCUCCUGAUUGAUAAACAUUUGAGUGAGUGGCGGACGGGUGAGUAACACGUGGGUAACCUGCCCUAAAGUGGGGGAUAACAUUUGGAAACAGAUGCUAAUACCGCAUAAAACCUAACACCGCAUGGUGUAGGGUUGAAAGAUGGUUUCGGCUAUCACUUUAGGAUGGACCCGCGGUGCAUUAGUUAGUUGGUGAGGUAAAGGCUCACCAAGACCGUGAUGCAUAGCCGACCUGAGAGGGUAAUCGGCCACACUGGGACUGAGACACGGCCCAGACUCCUACGGGAGGCAGCAGUAGGGAAUCUUCCACAAUGGACGAAAGUCUGAUGGAGCAACGCCGCGUGAGUGAAGAAGGUUUCGGAUCGUAAACUCUGUUGUUGGAGAAGAAUGUAUCUGAUAGUAACUGAUCAGGUAGUGACGGUAUCCAACCAGAAAGCCACGGCUAACUACGUG